CAAUAAAUUUCAUUCACUCCGCAUAUUCAAUCCUAUAGAUACCCUUUUAAUUCUUCAAUCUCAGACAUAACUCGAUUUCACAAAACAGUCAAGAGUAAUGAAACCCACUUCAUUAAAAAUCCCGAUUCACCAUUACAACACUGAUUUCAGCAACGAUUGCCUCAGUCUUCCCAAAACCCUAUGAAGAAAAAAAACCCAAUUCU
RNAcentral lists this long non-coding RNA (203 nucleotides) under Physcomitrium patens. RNAcentral describes it as "long non-coding RNA (PPAT_LNC003025)". Lineage: Eukaryota; Viridiplantae; Streptophyta; Bryopsida; Funariales; Funariaceae. The record is from RNAcentral.